RNA transcript from Elaeis guineensis (African oil palm), 1957 nucleotides. RefSeq lists it as uncharacterized. The record is from RefSeq and is a predicted model, not a curated record. NCBI's taxonomy places the organism in Eukaryota, Viridiplantae, Streptophyta, Magnoliopsida, Arecales, Arecaceae.
UCUCUUCCCCUUUAACCUUCUCUAGUUCUCUUCUCCUUCCUCUCAUGACUCCUCUCUCUCCCACUCUCUCCUCCUCUUAGAGAGAAGAGUAGCUAAGGGUGGUGGGAGAGAAGAGAAGAGAAGCCAUGGAAGGCCAAAGGAGCCCGGGGGCGAUGCUAGCUCGGACUUCCUCUCUCCUCCGUUCCCCCACCCUCCGUUCCUACCCCCACAGCCUCUCAACCUUGGCGGAAGAGGACCCGGACGACGAGAAGCCCACCCGACCCCCCCCCGCUGCCCGCCCCUUCCUUUCCUCCACCCCGUUCCUCCUCUCUCUUCUCCUCAUCCUCAUCCUCCUGCUCCUCUUCAUCUUCUUCAUCAGAGAGUUUUUUUCCUCCGGGAACCUCCUCCUCGCCUCGGGCGCCGUCGCCGUCGCAUCCGUGAUCAUCCUCCUGUGGAAAGUUUUCAUCUUUGGCCGCGCCGCUAGGCGGAGUGGCUCAGUCCAGUGGUUUAUCGGCGAUGAAGAUAGGAUUUUGAGGAAGGGGAGGGGUAGGAUUGGGAGGAUAGUGAGGGAAGGAGUGGAAUUUUACGGCAAUGGGGAUGUGUAUGAGGGGGAGUUCCACCAGGGGAAGUGUAAUGGGAGCGGGGUGUAUAGCUUUUUCGGGAAGGGGAGGUAUGAAGGGGAUUGGGUUGAUGGGAAGUAUGACGGGUAUGGGGUCGAGAGCUGGGCGAGGGGGAGUCGAUACAGGGGACAAUACCGCCAGGGACUGCGGCAUGGGUUCGGGAUGUAUCGGUUCUAUAAUGGGGAUAGCUAUGCCGGGGAGUGGCUCGGCGGGCAGAGCCAUGGGAGUGGAGUGCAAGCUUGCUCUGAUGGUAGCUGCUAUGUGGGGCAAUUCAAGUGCGGAGUUAAGCAUGGGCUUGGCUGCUACAGUUUCAGGAAUGGUGAUAGGUACAGUGGUGAAUACUUUGGAGACAAAAUUCAUGGUUUUGGCGUCUAUCACUUCGCUAACGGCCACUGCUACGAGGGCUCAUGGCAUGAAGGCCGGAGACAAGGUUUUGGAACAUACGCAUUCCGAAAUAGUGAAAUGAGAUCAGGAGAGUGGGAUUGUGGUGUUUUAAAGAUCCCCCUCCUCCCAUCAGAUCCUUUGGUGCGACGAGCUAUUCAAGCUGCAAUAAAGGCUGCAGAGAGUGCUAAUAACCUCCCCCGGCUGGACGACCAAGUCAAUAAGGCAGUCACAGCUGCAAAUAGAGCAGCCACUUCUGCUAGGGUUGCUGCAAUCAAAGCUGUCCAGAACCAUAUGGAUGGAAAAUUUUGUGAUCCAGAUGUGUAAGUUCCAGUCAAAAAUCAAAUUGGAGAAUUGGUGGUGGUGAGAUCAUGUGCUUUGAUCCUUGAUAGUGAUUGCGUUUGGAUCUUCACAUGGGAAACAGCAUGGUGUCUUUCAUCAAAUAUCUGGGACAUCAGAUUCAAUGUUUUGCCAUCUGAUUAAAAUCUGAGGCCUUUGUGUGGAGUAGGUCCAUGGACACCAACCAUUCAGCUGGUCUCAGAGGCCAUUCCGGUUUGCAAGACUGGCCUUAUCAUUAGGGUCAGGUUGGCGGGCAGAAAGAUAAAAUUUUGAUCAGUGAGGUGGUCCAUGUGAUGUAUGCUAAUUAAUUAUGUUUGAAUGUUCUUCAACUUUGCUUGGAAGACAAGCCUUCAGAGAGUAGGCUCCCUUUGUUUCCGGGCAGAUGUCCAUCCUUGGCAUCAACUCAUGGCCAUGGGUGGCAAAAGUGGGACCCCACAAUUAAACUAGUCUUGGAUACCUUUCCUUAGAUUUAAAUAUCAGGAUAUUGAUUUGGAAACUGUUUGCUGACAUACUAAAUGCGAAUUGCAUUGAGAGCUUGGAGGUAAAGAGUCUUCUCAGGGAGAGAUUUUUCUUGGUCAAAGUACUCUUUCUACGACUUAUGGAGCACAAGAUAAAAGCUUUCCACAAGAAAAAAAAAA